Molecule: ribosomal RNA, 597 nt
Filed under: Papiliotrema laurentii
Lineage: Eukaryota; Fungi; Basidiomycota; Tremellomycetes; Tremellales; Rhynchogastremaceae
Description: LSU rRNA
Rfam family: Eukaryotic large subunit ribosomal RNA
Source: RNAcentral
AAACUAACAAGGAUUCCCCUAGUAACGGCGAGUGAACCGGGAAGAGCUCAAAUUUGAAAUCUGGCGUCCUCAGGGCGUCCGAGUUGUAAUCUAUAGAGGCGUUUUCCGUGCCGGACCGUGUCCAAGUUCCUUGGAACAGGAUAUCAAAGAGGGUGACAAUCCCGUACUUGACACGACGACCGGUGCUCUGUGAUACGUCUUCUACGAGUCGAGUUGUUUGGGAAUGCAGCUCAAAAUGGGUGGUGAGUUCCAUCUAAAGCUAAAUAUUGGCGAGAGACCGAUAGCGAACAAGUACCGUGAGGGAAAGAUGAAAAGCACUUUGGAAAGAGAGUUAAACAGUACGUGAAAUUGUUGAAAGGGAAACGAUUGAAGUCAGUCGUGACCGAGAGGCUCAGCCGGUUCUGCCGGUGUAUUCCCCUCGGUCGGGUCAACAUCAGUUUUGUCCGGUGGAUAAGGGCGGUAGGAAGGUGGCACCCUCGGGUGUGUUAUAGCCNGCCGUCGCAUACAUCGGGUGAGACUGAGGAACGCAGCUCGCCUUUAUGGCCGGGGUUCGCCCACGUCCGAGCUUAGGAUGUUGACAUAAUGGCUUUAAACGAC